This 403-nucleotide ribosomal RNA is filed under the name Verrucomicrobiota bacterium. Its description in RNAcentral is "Verrucomicrobia bacterium partial 16S ribosomal RNA". It matches the Rfam family "Bacterial small subunit ribosomal RNA", at positions 355 to 776 of the family's 1533-position model. Lineage: Bacteria; Pseudomonadati; Verrucomicrobiota. The record is from RNAcentral.
UGGGGAAUAUUGCACAAUGGGGGAAACCCUGAUGCAGCGACGCCGCGUGAGCGAAGAAGGCUUUCGAGUCGUAAAGCUCUGUCCUAUGAGAAGAUAAUGACGGUAUCAUAGGAGGAAGCCCUGGCUAAAUACGUGCCAGCAGCCGCGGUAAUACGUAUGGGGCGAGCGUUGUCCGGAAUUAUUGGGCGUAAAGGGUACGUAGGCGGUUUUUUAAGCCAGGUGUCAAAGCGUGGAGCUUAACUCCAUUAAGCACUUGAAACUGAAAGACGUGAGUGAAGGAGAGGAAAGUGGAAUUCGUAGUGUAGCGGUGAAAUGCGUAGAUAUUAGGAGGAAUACCGGUGGCGAAGGCGACUUUCUGGACUGUUACUGACGAUCAGGUACGAAAGCGGGGGGAGCAAACAGG